Mustela lutreola (European mink) is the source of this 4056-nucleotide RNA transcript. It is a transcript of the gene named coiled-coil domain containing 136, with no coding region annotated. The transcript has 20 exons. The record is from RefSeq and is a predicted model, not a curated record. NCBI's taxonomy places the organism in Eukaryota, Metazoa, Chordata, Mammalia, Carnivora, Mustelidae.
CACCCGGCUCCGGGUCCCCGGCCUGGCGGCUGCGGCGUCUCCUACCGGCGGCGGCGGCGGCGGCGGCGGCUCGAGCGGCCAUGGAGGCGGGCGCCGGGGCCGGCGCCACGGGCUGGAGCUGCCCGGGCCCAGGACCCACAGUGACCACUUUAGGCUCCUAUGAGGCAUCUGAGGGUUGUGAAAGAAAGAAAGGCCAACGCUGGGGGUCCCUGGAGCGGCGGGGGAUGCAAGCAAUGGAGGGGGAAGUGUUGCUCCCCGCUCUCUAUGAGGAGGAAGAGGAGGAGGAGGAAGAAGAGGUGGAAGAAGAGGAAGAGCAAGUGCAGAAAGGGGGCAGCGUGAGCUCCCUGUCUGUCAGCAAGCACCGGGGCCUGAGCCUCACGGAGACAGAGCUGGAAGAGCUGAGGGCUCAGGUGCUACAGCUGGUGGCAGAGCUGGAGGAGACCCGGGAGCUGGCGGGGCAGCAUGAGGACGACUCCCUGGAGCUGCAGGGGCUCCUGGAGGAUGAACGGCUGGCCAGUGCCCAGCAGGCAGAGGUGUUCACCAAGCAGAUCCAGCAGCUCCAAGGUGAGCUGCGGUCUCUGCGUGAGGAGAUUUCCCUGUUAGAGCGUGAGAAAGAAAGUGAACUUAAGGAAAUAGAACAGGAGUUGCACUUGGCCCAGACUGAGAUCCGGAAUCUGCGGCAAGCAGCAGAGGAUUCUGCGACCGAACAUGAGAGUGACAUAGCAUCCCUGCAGGAGGAUCUCUGCCGGAUGCAGAAUGAACUCGAUGACAUGGAGCGCAUUCGGGGAGAGUAUGAAAUGGAGAUCACCUCCCUCCGUGCAGAAAUGGAAAUGAAGAGCUCUGAUCCAUCCAAUAGUUUAAAUCUUUCCGAUUACUCUGAGAUGCAAGAAGAGCUGCAGCAACUGCGGGAACGCUACCGCUUCCUGAACGAGGAGUACCGGGCCCUGCAGGAGAGCAACAGUAGCCUCACAGGGCAGCUUGCGGAUCUGGAGAGUGAGAGGACACGAAGAGCAACAGAAAAGUGGCUGGAGUCCCACAUGCUAAAGGAUAUGAUGUCAGCAGAGUCUCAGACUUCAGAAGUGGAUUUUCUAGAACCUGAUCCUGAAACCCAGUUGUUGCGACAACAGCUUCUGGGAGCUGAAGAGCAGAUGCAUGACAUGCAGAACAAGUGUAAGAAGCUGUGUUGUGAGUUGCAAGAACUACAGCAUCAUCGUCGGACCAGUGAGGAGGAGCAGCGGCGGCUGCAGAGGGAGCUCAAGUGCGCGCAGAACGAGGUGCUCAGGUUUCAGACUUCCCACAAUGCCACACAGAAUGAGGAGCUGAAGACCAGACUCUGUGCCCUGCAGAAAAAGUAUGAUGAUAGCCAGGAUGAGCAGAAUGAGCUCUUGAAGGUGCAGCUCCAGCUUCAGUCUGAGCUCCGGCAGCUCAAAGUCUUGAAAUCCACAGGCGUAGAAAGCCCAAGUGAGAAGGAGUUACUCUGCCGGCUCCAGAAGCUGCAGCUCCAGUACCAGCACAUCACGUGCGAGAAGGAUAAGCUGCUGGAGGUGCAGCACCAGCUGUGUGGGGACCUGCGCUACCAUGAGGCUGAGGUACAGCGCCUCAAGGACAUCGUGGCCUCCUUCCAGGAGAGCAGUGAGAAGAACGCAGAGAUGCACGCCCAGCUUCAGGAGAUGAAGCGGCUGUACCAGACCAGCAAGGAGGAGCUGGAGCGGCAGAAGUACAUGUAUGAUCAGCUCGAGCAGGACCUCCUGCUCUGCCAGCAGGAGCUGAAGGAGCUCAAGACCACCACACCCAUCCCAGAGGACAAGGGGAAGUGUGCAAAUAAGUGUGACGCACUGCUGUCCAGACUGACAGAGUUGCAGGAGGAGUACAAGGCCAGCCAGAAGGAGAUGGGGCAGCUGCAGAUGGAGCAGUGCGAGCUCCUAGAGGAUCAGAGGAGGAUGCAGGAGGAGCAGGGGCAGCUGCAAGAAGAGCUGCACAGGCUCUCGUUCCCACUGCCCAAAGCUGGGCUCCUCCCAAAGAGUCAGGAGCUCCUUACAAAGUUACAAGACCUGUGUGAACUACAGCUGCUCUACCAAGGUAUGCAGGAAGAGCAGAAAAAACUGGUGCAGAAUCAAGAAAGCGUGCUCAAAGAACAGUCAGCUCUGCACGAAGAGCUGCAUUUUUUCAAAACGUCUCGUUUCCGGGAUGUGUUGGAGAAUCCCGAUGAUUCCAAAUCACCUAAGUCCUCCAAGUGUGAUCAUGACAAGUCCAAGCUGAUCAUCGCCCAGAUGCAGGCUCUGCAGGUGCUCUACGAGGGCACACAGGCUGAGCAGGAGCUGCUGCAGCAGGAGCAGGGCAGGCUCCUCGAGGAGCGGAAGAGGCUGCAGGCCGACCUGCAGCUCUGCCUGGAAGAAAUGCAGCUGCUCCAGGUCCAGUCCCCCUGCAGCAGAAUGAGCCUGGAGAAGAACUCUGGCAGCGUGGCCUCCAGCAGCGAGAACUAUCGCAAGAGUUACGGGAGCAGCAUCGAGGAGAGCGAGAGCUAUCACAAGAGCUACGGUAGCACCCAGACCAGCAGUGAGAGCUUUCUCAAGAGCUACAACAGUAGCAGCAGUGCCCAGGAGAGCAGUGAGAAGAAUUACGGCAGCAGAAGCAGCAGCGUCAUCUACAAGAAGAGUUACGGCAGCAGCACUAGCUCGGACACGGGUCACAAGAGUUACGGUAGCAGCACCGAAGGUGAACCCAACGAGCCUGAAGACAUGGAGCACUGUGAGGACAUGGUCGCCAAGGUGGUGAUCAAGCUGCAGGGCGUGCAGGCCAUGUACCAGCUCAGCCAGGAGGAACACGACCGACUGCAAGACCGGAUGCAAAAGCUGGUGGACAGGCAGAAAGAGCUGAAGGAAGAGCUGGCCGCCUGUGAAAAGGAAUUCAAGGAAUGCAUGGAAAGUCUUGAGAAGCCCACUGCCUCCCCCAACGACAAGGACAAGAGCGAGAGCACUUCUACAGAGAUGUAUUUUUUCACCUUUAGUUAUUUUGGGUGUUCUUGUCUCUUCAACUGGACUAUCAAGGAGCUGCAGGCCAAGCUGCGGGAGCUGCAGCUGCAGUACCAGGAGAGCAUGGACGAACAGGGGCGGCUUCUGGCCGUGCAGGAGCAGCUGGAGGGCCAGCUGCAGUGCUGCCAGGAAGAGCUCCGCCAGCUCAAGGAGAAGAAGUCCUCCAUUGCCAGAGAAACCAGGGGGAAAAGUGGCAACGAGAAUAUGAACAAAAAUGCCAACGGGGUUAAAAAUACAAAGGUGACCAAACCAAGCCUGGCCAAUCCUGAGGGCAGCUGUGAGAACGAAAAGAGUCUGGAGGUGGUGUUGUACUACAAGGCCAGCCACACGGAUUUAGAUGGUCUACUACAAGAGGAAGUAGAGGAGGAAAAGGAGGAGGAAAUCAAAAAGGACACGAAGCAGGACUCCUGCAAUGAACUGGUUUCUGUGCCGUCAGAGCCUACGGAGAUGAGGUCCCCCAAAGCUGAGGAGGGCUGUUAUGAAGAGUCCCAAGAGCAGGAGGGCAAGGAAGAAGACCGCAAAGUUGAGAGCGACAACGACGCUUGCCCCGAAGCUUCAGAGGGAAACAACCCCCUCAGGCUUUCUGAGAGCAAAAAGGGCGGGAGUACACAUGGCCACCUCCGGUGAUACUUGCGGGUACCUAGCUCCGCCGGAACUAAGGCCACAUUGACUCCAGUUUCCCAGGAGAACAUGUUUGGGAUGUGGAAGCCUAUGGUGUUCUUGGCUAUUGCGGCUGUGGCUCUGUAUGUGUUACCCAACAUGCGACCGCAGGAGUCAGAGUUCUGCCUCAUGGAGUGAUGGCAGACCUGGGCCAGCCGAGGGGGCAGAUCCCCAGUGGCCACUACCCUCAGCUUUGGGCAGGACACACUGUGCCAGAGCCCCCACCCCACCCAUGUGUCCCAUGUGUCCCCCAUCUCCUUAGCCUCAGUCACCCAGGCUGGAAAGGUUAUGGGGAGCUGCUGGCUGCCAUCUCCUGCCUUGUAUAAGAACCUGGGUUCUGUGUCAUUAAAUAUCAACCUAAUUA